RNAcentral lists this ribosomal RNA (253 nucleotides) under uncultured bacterium. Its description in RNAcentral is "partial 16S ribosomal RNA". It matches the Rfam family "Bacterial small subunit ribosomal RNA", at positions 524 to 776 of the family's 1533-position model. The record is from RNAcentral.
UACGUAGGGGGCAAGCGUUGUCCGGAUUUAUUGGGCGUAAAGAGCGUGUAGGCGGCCAGGUAGGUCCGUUGUGAAAACUCGAGGCUCAACCUCGAGACGCCGAUGGAAACCAUCUGGCUAGAGUCCGGAAGAGGAGAGUGGAAUUCCCGGUGUAGCGGUGAAAUGCGCAGAUAUCAGGAAGAACACCCGUGGCGAAAGCGGCUCUCUGGGACGGUACUGACGCUGAGACGCGAAAGCGUGGGGAGCGAACAGG